Long non-coding RNA from Micropterus dolomieu (smallmouth bass), 1373 nucleotides. RefSeq lists it as uncharacterized. The record is from RefSeq and is a predicted model, not a curated record. NCBI's taxonomy places the organism in Eukaryota, Metazoa, Chordata, Actinopteri, Centrarchiformes, Centrarchidae. The transcript is spliced from 3 exons.
CUUUUCUUCAACCUCCACAACAGGGUCGACUUUCUCCAGAGCUGUUAAGCUGAUUCCUGUUAUCAUAGUCAUUCUCUCAGGGCUGGCACUGAUGAUAAUCUGUAUUCAGAGGAACACAAGACCUGAAGGUUUGCAGACCAGGGGAAGUUCAGACAGGACAAACAUGGAGCUUGCUCAAUAUGAGAACUGUCCUCCAGCUUCUGCAUCUGAAUCCACCUACGAGAGCCUCAAUCCAGCCAGCAUGGAUCAGAACCAGACCUACGCUACACUCGAACACACACAACACAAAUGAUGCUGUUUGUGUCUCACUGAGCACUGCAACUCUGACAUAUACUCAUUUAGGUAGAUUAACAUUAUCCCAACAAUGGACUAAAACUUAACUCACAACUCAGUAUGGGGGAGGGGGAUGGAUGUUGAGCUUAAAGUUGCAUGAAUGAUUCAUGUGAUGACAUACCCAAUCAAAAGUGCUCUGAUGCUAGCAAGGCUAUUUUUCUAAUCUGAAUCUUGUUUAUUUAUUAAUAUGCAUAUUUACCUGUAUGUUUAUGUUACUUUGUAGUUUGGCAGAUUGAAGCCCUUUAAGGUGAAGUUUGUGUUAUUUGCAACCACAAGCUGGUCAGUAUCAUAUAAAAUAUAGGAACAUUAGAGAUAGGAACUUUAUUGUAAAUAUGAUUUCAAUUUAUUUUUCUGCAUUCAGUGUUCUUAUCAACGUUCUGUCUGUCUAAUAACAAGGGUUUUCUGAAAGUUACAGAGAACCUUUAAUGAAAUGCUAGCAAAUAGAAAAACACAAGCAAAUGAAGAAAAAUAUGACUGCAACAUUUAGAAAAGAGAUCUCAAGUAGCCACUGUACAUUUAGAGUAGAGUUUCCUUUGACACAUCAUCUAUGUUGUCUUUUUUUAUUAUAAUAGUUCAGAAAACAUGACGCUGCUGUUAAGCAAAUGUAAAUAUUUGGUAAAAUGCUGAUCCCCACACAAGAACUAGUUGGUGUGGUUCAACUCGUUUUGUCCAUUACAAUUACUGUGGAUAUUCACAGUGCUGCUAGGCUUACAGUUUUAUCUUUUAUCCAAAGCGACUUACAUUUGAGGAAAAAAAUACAAGCAUUAAUAGAGCAUCAAAUACAGAUCUACAACACAUACUAGCAAGAGCAGCAAUACGUACUGGUUGGUGCAAGUUCAUACAGCAGGCUCUGCAGCCUCGGUCAUUUUAGGGAGGAGAUCUUAAUUACUUAAAGGGCCAGUUUCUGAGAUGUAGCCCAUCUGUAGGCUAUAGGCCAAAAUGUUUUCCCAUAUUUAGAUUGACUAUUUUACGUGUCCAAAAAAAGUCUGUGGUUAUAAAAUGACAAACAAAUAAACCUUGAUACCAUGAAAUACUAUGAA